RNAcentral lists this ribosomal RNA (499 nucleotides) under uncultured bacterium. RNAcentral describes it as "partial 16S ribosomal RNA". It matches the Rfam family "Bacterial small subunit ribosomal RNA", at positions 28 to 507 of the family's 1533-position model. The record is from RNAcentral.
GACGAACGCUGGCGGCGUGCCUAAUACAUGCAAGUCGAGCGAAGUUUUUCUGGUGCUUGCACUAGAAAAACUUAGCGGCGAACGGGUGAGUAACACGUAAAGAACCUGCCUCAUAGACUGGGACAACUAUUGGAAACGAUAGCUAAUACCGGAUAACAGUAUUUCUCGCAUGAGAGAUAUUUAAAAGUUGGUUAUGCUAACACUAUGAGAUGGCUUUGCGGUGCAUUAGCUAGUUGGUGGGGUAAAGGCCCACCAAGGCGACGAUGCAUAGCCGACCUGAGAGGGUGAUCGGCCACACUGGGACUGAGACACGGCCCAGACUCCUACGGGAGGCAGCAGUAGGGAAUCUUCCGCAAUGGGCGAAAGCCUGACGGAGCAACGCCGCGUGAGUGAAGAAGGAUUUCGGUUCGUAAAGCUCUGUUGUUAGGGAAGAAUGGAUAUGUAGUAACUAUACAUGUAAUAGACGGUACCUAAACAGAAAGCCACGGCUAACUACGUG